ACUCCUACGGGAGGCAGCAGUGGGGAAUAUUGCACAAUGGGGGAAACCCUGAUGCAGCCAUGCCGCGUGUGUGAAGAAGGCCUUGGGUUGUAAAGCACUUUCAGUAGGGAGGAAGGUAGUGUAGUUAACACCUGCAUUAUUUGUACGUUACCUACAGAAGAAGCACCGGCUAACUCCGUGCCAGCAGCCGCGGUAAGUACGGAGGGUGCGAGCGUUAAUCGGAAUUACUGGGCGUAAAGCGCAUGCAGGCGGCCUGUUAAGUCAGAUGUGAAAGCCCGGGGUCGUUAACCUCGGAAUUGCAUUUGAAACUGGCAGGCUAGAGUCUUGUAGAGGGGUUAGAAUUUCAGGUGUAGCGGUGAAAUGCGUAGAGAUCUGAAGGAAUACCGAGUGGCGAAGGC
Molecule: ribosomal RNA, 398 nt
Filed under: uncultured bacterium
Lineage: Bacteria
Description: bacterial SSU rRNA
Rfam family: Bacterial small subunit ribosomal RNA
Source: RNAcentral